UUCACCGCGGUCUCUAAUUUGCUUAGUGCAAGGCGGGAACCUGAUUUUCGCCAAAUACAACGACAUCAAUUAGUUUGUUUAUACAUACAGAAAUCCAUACAUAUUUAUAUGAGCACGAUUUUGGCGUUUGGAAUAUUCACGUGAAAGUUGAAACGACAUAACCGGCGAAGAAAGUUCCCGACCUGCACCAAGCGAAUUAGAGACCGCCGCAAUA
RNAcentral lists this microRNA precursor (214 nucleotides) under Olea europaea subsp. europaea. Lineage: Eukaryota; Viridiplantae; Streptophyta; Magnoliopsida; Lamiales; Oleaceae. The record is from RNAcentral.